UCAACUUGAGAGUUUGAUCCUGGCUCAGAACGAACGCUGGCGGCAGGCCUAACACAUGCAAGUCGAGCGCGCCUUCGGGUGAGCGGCGGACGGGUGAGUAACGCGUGGGAAUAUGCCCGGUACUACGGAAUAGCCUCGGGAAACUGAGAGUAAUACCGUAUACGCCCUUCGGGGGAAAGAUUUAUCGGUAUCGGAUUAGCCCGCGUUGGAUUAGGUAGUUGGUGGGGUAACGGCCUACCAAGCCGACGAUCCAUAGCUGGUUUGAGAGGAUGAUCAGCCACACUGGGACUGAGACACGGCCCAGACUCCUACGGGA
RNAcentral lists this ribosomal RNA (316 nucleotides) under Boseongicola sp. SB0665_bin_10. RNAcentral's name for it is "bacterial SSU rRNA". It matches the Rfam family "Bacterial small subunit ribosomal RNA", at positions 1 to 346 of the family's 1533-position model. Lineage: Bacteria; Pseudomonadati; Pseudomonadota; Alphaproteobacteria; Rhodobacterales; Paracoccaceae. The record is from RNAcentral.